UACGUAGGGUGCAAGCGUUAAUCGGAAUUACUGGGCGUAAAGCGUGCGCAGGCGGUUAUGCAAGACAGAUGUGAAAUCCCCGGGCUCAACCUGGGAACUGCAUUUGUGACUGCAUGGCUGGAGUGCGGCAGAGGGGGGUAGAAUUCCACGUGUAGCAGUGAAAUGCGUAGAGAUGUGGAGGAAUACCGAUGGCGAAGGCAGCCUCCUGGGCCAACACUGACGCUCAUGCACGAAAGCGUGGGGAGCAAACAGG
Molecule: ribosomal RNA, 253 nt
Filed under: uncultured bacterium
Lineage: Bacteria
Description: partial 16S ribosomal RNA
Rfam family: Bacterial small subunit ribosomal RNA
Source: RNAcentral